GCCUGGGUGGCUCAGUCGGUUAAGCAUCUGACUUCGGCUCAGGUCAUGAUCUCACAGCUCGUGAGUUCGAGCCCCGCAUCGGGCU
RNAcentral lists this transfer RNA (85 nucleotides) under Felis catus (domestic cat). It matches the Rfam family "tRNA". Rfam says of the family: Transfer RNA (tRNA) molecules are approximately 80 nucleotides in length. Their secondary structure includes four short double-helical elements and three loops (D, anti-codon, and T loops). Lineage: Eukaryota; Metazoa; Chordata; Mammalia; Carnivora; Felidae. The record is from Rfam by way of RNAcentral. RNAcentral also lists the same sequence under 2 other names.